AAUCAACGCUGGCGGCGUGCCUCAGACAUGCAAGUCGAACGAUUAAACUUCCCUUCGGGGCAGAUAUAAAGUGGCGCACGGGUGAGUAACACGUAGGUAAUGUACCUUUGGGUGGGGAAUAACUUAGGGAAACUUAAGCUAAUACCGCAUAAUGCAGCGGCUCCUUCGGGAGACAGUUGUUAAAGAUUUAUCGCCUAAAGCGCAGCCUGCGUCAGAUUAGCUAGUUGGUAAGGUAACGGCUUACCAAGGCUACGAUCUGUAUCCGACCUGAGAGGGUGGUCGGACACACUGACACUGAAUAACGGGUCAGACUCCUACGGGAGGCAGCAGUCGGGAAUUUUGGGCAAUGGGCGAAAGCCUGACCCAGCAACGCCGCGUGAAGGAUGAAGUCUUUCGGGAUGUAAACUUCGUAAGAAUAGGAAGAAUAAAUGACGGGACUAUGUGUAAGGUCCGGCUAACUACGUG
RNAcentral lists this ribosomal RNA (465 nucleotides) under uncultured bacterium. RNAcentral describes it as "partial 16S ribosomal RNA". It matches the Rfam family "Bacterial small subunit ribosomal RNA", at positions 32 to 507 of the family's 1533-position model. The record is from RNAcentral.